UUCAGGUCCUUCGUCUUCAAACGACUGAUCUCCGAAUAACUCUCCUGCAGCCCUGUUCCCCUGUCGCUCGUCGACGGUGGCGGCUGCAUAGAUCUGGUGCUUACCUGGUGGACGACGACUACUCCCUGGGCAGUUGCUCCCUGCCUCCUCCCCCUCCCACUCCGGCUUCCAGGUCUCUUGGCUCCAUCUACCGCGCAUCCCGACGACGCGCUGCACAUCCUCGUCAGGGACCGGCCGGGCUGCCGCCGCCGGUCUCCUCCACCCCGAUGACCACGGGCUCCCCACCCGCUCAGCUGCCCAUUUUUACCUUUCCGGAGCCAAGCUGGUAGUGGUCGAGUGGGCGGUGGUGCCUCCACGGUCGCCUCCUCCCCGCACUCCUAGAUCCAGCAGUAUCUCACCGUAGGCAACCUGGUGGUGCUCGAUCUGCUCGCCUUCUUCGCCUGGCAGGCUCAGCAUCAAGACGCGUCGCUGGAUGAAGCCAUGGGCAAUGGGACGAGGCAUCGGCGACACUGACUGCAGGAUUGACACCGUCUCUGCAGGUCCCUGAUGUGGGUGCACCGCAUUGCUUGGCGGUGCAUGGCUGGAGCUCCCGCCGACCAUCAGGUUGAGGUGGGGAGGAGCAGGUGGCAUGCAGACUGAAUCAGGCGGAGAGCGCGGGCACUCGAAGACGCGACUCCUGAAUGACGGCUUGACCACGGCGGUCGACAAUCUGAAAAUAUCACCGAACAUGAAGACUGAAGAGCAAGAAGCACUAUAACUGGAGGCAAAGGGAAUUUAUUUUUUCUUUCAUGUGCUAUCAAGAUAACAAACCUGAUGCAAGUUUUGGUAGCAAUGUUUAUUCAGCGGGCAUCAUU
Long non-coding RNA from Triticum dicoccoides, 854 nucleotides. RefSeq lists it as uncharacterized. The record is from RefSeq and is a predicted model, not a curated record. The transcript has 3 exons. Lineage: Eukaryota; Viridiplantae; Streptophyta; Magnoliopsida; Poales; Poaceae.